Molecule: ribosomal RNA, 640 nt
Filed under: Nemania bipapillata
Lineage: Eukaryota; Fungi; Ascomycota; Sordariomycetes; Xylariales; Xylariaceae
Description: partial large subunit ribosomal RNA
Rfam family: Eukaryotic large subunit ribosomal RNA
Source: RNAcentral
AUCUGGCUCUCUUGGGAGUCCGAGUUGUAAUUUGUAGAGGAUGCUUUUGGCGAGGUGCCUUCCGAGUUCCCUGGAACGGGACGCCUUAGAGGGUGAGAGCCCCGUACGGUUGGAUGCCGAGCCUCUGUAAAGCUCCUUCGACGAGUCGAGUAGUUUGGGAAUGCUGCUCUAAAUGGGAGGUAAAUUUCUUCUAAAGCUAAAUAUUGGCCAGAGACCGAUAGCGCACAAGUAGAGUGAUCGAAAGAUGAAAAGUACUUUGAAAAGAGGGUUAAAUAGUACGUGAAAUUGUUGAAAGGGAAGCGUUUAUGACCAGACUUUGUCGUGGUGGAUCAUCCGGUGGUUUCCACCGGUGCGCUCUACCGCGACGAGGCCAGCAUCGGUUUCCGCAGGGGGAUAAAAGCCUGGGGAACGUAGCUCCCUCGGGAGUGUUAUAGCCCCUCGCAUAAUACCCUUGCGGGGACCGAGGACCGCGUAUUUAUACAAGGAUGCUGGCAUAAUGGUUAUUAACGACCCGUCUUGAAACACGGACCAAGGAGUCGAACAUUUGUGCGAGUAUUUGGGUGUUAAACCCCUAUGCGCAAUGAAGGUGAACGGAGGUAAGAGCCCCGUACGGGGUGCAUUAUCGACCGAUCCAGAUGUU